Molecule: ribosomal RNA, 113 nt
Filed under: Lodderomyces parapsilosis
Lineage: Eukaryota; Fungi; Ascomycota; Pichiomycetes; Serinales; Debaryomycetaceae
Description: Candida parapsilosis partial 18S ribosomal RNA
Source: RNAcentral
ACCAAAGCAAAGUUUUCAAAAAAAGAAAAACACAUGUGUAAGAAAAAAUGCAGUUAAGCACUUUUCAUUCUGUAAUGAUCCUUCCGUAGGGKGGGACUGCGGAAGGAUCAUUA